AUUCAUAGUCUUCGGGGAGAAUUAAAGAAGCUAUGAACAAUAACUUUGAAAACAACAUAGACAGAACUGUUAUGAUACCAACUUAGUAAUGCUAUGUGGCAUGUGGGCUUUAAAUAAAUAAAGCUGGACAAAGGUAACCUAACUCAUAAACACAUAGAAUCCUGGCUCUUCUUCUUGCUCUCUUUCACUGCUCUGAAGAUGCUAGAGAAACCCUUCUGGAGUGGAGACAAGUGGCCUUCGAAACCUGAGUUUUCCCCAGGCUGCCCCACACAGUGGGAGUAGAAGUGGAUCCCUUCUCUCUGACACCAGAGAGUCGACUGAACAGCAAUUGACAGAUCUUGCUCAGAAGGCAAAGAGGAGAACAACCAGGGAGCACAGCCAACUUCCAUGCUAAUCAAGGUGAAUAAAGCCAUGACAUAGAACAGAACACCACAGGACUCUGUUUAACACAACCAGGAACUCAACUUAUUCAGCCAACUACCUUGUUUUCUAUUUGUAAUUAGAGUCACAAAGAAGCAGCUUCCUUGCGUGUCGCCCACAAGCAGAGCCCCAGACAACAUCCUCAUUUUCAAUACUUCUUCCCCUUUAUCUCACUCUGCCUGAUGCCUAAUAAGCUGAUUGCUAUUUACUUUGGACCAACAGCUAAUCUGUUAAUGAUUGAUUUUGAAUUUUUACAGCCAUUUGUCUCUGGCAGGACCUGAGACUGCAAAAGGCAAUCCUCUCCUACCUGAUGAAUUGGCUUUUUCUUAGAAAGAAAAGAAAGAAAAGAAGAGAGGAGAAAAGAAAAGGAAAGGAAAGAAGAGAAGAGAAGAGAGAUUGAUUUAAGUAAAAAGUCUUCAUGGUUGCAUUCUGCUGACCAACAAUUGAUAUUUAAUGAGAUACUUCAAUGCAAAAGAAGAAACGAUCCUGCAAGACAUUGAGGCUCCAUCUGCUGUCAGCACCACCUGAGAAAGAAUUGAGGCAGCUGAGGGGCAGAAACCACGGCCCCCCAAGUGGUCUGCUGACCUUCCUGAGAGGUAGAUAUCAUGUGACAGCAAUUGCCUAUCUCAGCAGACACGCUGGAAACGGGAGAAAGUGUUAAAUAUAACCAGGUAGACAGUGAUGAAUUGACAUACUGAAAAAUCGAACACUUCAGUAAUCAGCCUAAGGAUCUGAUAUCAACAACAUUUUUCAGUUUUGUCCAAAUUCAUUGAAAGGUGUACUUUAGCAAGUUCACUUCUCAUUGGUAAGACCUUUCAUCUUUAUGCUGCUUUUCUGAUUGGAUUCUGUGUCAUCAUUGGUUUGGGUGACUCUGUGCAGGAAGCAGACAGACUGUUUGCCUGGAGAGAAGAAGGACUGGAAGGAGCACAAAUAUAAAUGAGUUUUACUCCAACAUUAAUUAAAAAACUAUUAAAUAUCUAUCAAAGUGGUUAUUUAGAAAGAAUUAUUAAAGCCACGGUAUAUGAAAACACAUCAGGUACAGUGUUCUAACAGCACAGUAAACCUGAAAUAUUGAAA
RNAcentral lists this long non-coding RNA (1497 nucleotides) under Vulpes vulpes (red fox). RNAcentral describes it as "lncRNA (ENSVVUG00000000119.1)". The record is from RNAcentral. Lineage: Eukaryota; Metazoa; Chordata; Mammalia; Carnivora; Canidae.